This 303-nucleotide ribosomal RNA is filed under the name uncultured bacterium. RNAcentral's name for it is "partial 16S ribosomal RNA". It matches the Rfam family "Bacterial small subunit ribosomal RNA", at positions 507 to 809 of the family's 1533-position model. The record is from RNAcentral.
AGCAGUAGCCGCGGUAAUACGGAGGGUGCGAGCGUUAAUCGGAAUUACUGGGCGUAAAGCGUACGCAGGCGGUUUGUUAAGUCAGAUGUGAAAUCCCCGGGCUUAACCCGGGAACUGCAUUUGAAACUGGCAGGCUAGAGUCUCGUAGAGGGGGGUAGAAUUCCAGGUGUAGCGGUGAAAUGCGUAGAGAUCUGGAGGAAUACCGGUGGCGAAGGCGACUAUCUGGGCCAACACUGACACUGAGGCACGAAAGCGUGGGGAGCAAACAGGAUUAGAUACCCGUGUAGUCCCUGUCUCUUAUAA